GCGGGGCCGUGGGCGGCGGCGGGGCCCGUUCCGGGCGGUGCGGGGCGGUGCGGGGCGGUGCGGAGCCGUGCGGGGCUGCAGGGGGAUGCGCAGCGGCUCGGCCCCGGGCAGAUGAUGGCGAUACGCGAGCUGAAAGUGUGUCUGCUUGGAGAUACCGGGGUUGGGAAAUCAAGCAUUGUUUGUCGAUUCGUCCAGGACCACUUUGAUCACAAUAUUAGUCCUACUAUUGGAGCAUCCUUCAUGACUAAAACUGUGCCUUGUGGGAAUGAGCUUCAUAAAUUUCUGAUCUGGGAUACAGCUGGUCAGGAGCGGUUUCACUCCUUGGCUCCGAUGUACUACAGAGGUUCAGCAGCAGCUGUCAUAGUUUAUGAUAUCACCAAGCAGGAUUCAUUUCAUACUUUGAAGAAAUGGGUGAAAGAACUAAAAGAACAUGGUCCUGAAAACAUUGUAAUGGCCAUUGCUGGAAACAAAUGUGAUCUUUCUGAUAUCAGGGAGGUUCCUAUCAAGGAUGCCAAAGAAUAUGCAGAAUCUAUAGGUGCAAUUGUUGUUGAAACCAGUGCAAAGAAUGCUGUUAACAUUGAAGAACUCUUUCAAGGAAUAAUUGUAGAAAUACAAAAGAUUGUCUGCUUCAAAAGUCUCACUUUUGCUGUAUAAUACACCUGUUCAGAAAUGAUUGAACAAGAUAGAUGAAAUUUUGAUGGAUUUGACCAAAGGUCGGCAAAUUCCACCCUUAGAUCCUCAUGAAAAUGGUAACAAUGGAGCAAUCAAACUUGGAAAGCAGACUUCACAGACGGGUAGGCGGUGCUGCUGACCCAACUUGAUCUUUUGAGAUUUACUUGAAAAACAACACCAUUUGCUUUUUCACUGAGAAAGGACUUCAUGAUCUCAGUGAUGUGGCUCCUUAUCUUGAAAGCAGUAAUUUCAAUACUUCCCGUGAGUAAUAAUGCAAGGACCAGAAGUGGAAAGCUUUACUUCAAAGCGAUUUUGCAAAACCUACUUGGAAAAUCCACUCAAAAUUACAAUGUCCUAAGAAUUCUGAUUCUCUGUUUAAGCCAAUGACUAUUUUUUUUAAUAAAAAGAACCUUUUAUAUUAUAAAUUCUAGAUUUGCUACAAAACCUUCUCUUCUUACAUUGCAAAGUGGACUUGGCAUGUCUUUAGAGUUUUCUGUGUAACAAUAGGGUGCAAAAACACACAAAACCAGAGUUUUGGCUUACAGUUUCUCUGACAUCUUGCUAGCUGGACUCUGCUUCUGUAUUUUUCUAAAUCUGUACCUUCAUCUUCUGCUUUCGGUAAAUACCAGCAAGAACUGGACUGAAUUUGCUAACUAGUAAAAUGGAUCCAAAGGAUGAGUGAGUGCAAUUUUUACAGGCUACAAGUCAAAAUCUGUGUCAUGAGGUUGCUGUGUAUGUGAAAGAAGGAAUCGUCAUGAAGGAGACUGCUGGACCCCAUGCCGUUCUCACUGCUCUGGAAAGAAUGGAAGUUGCAGCCACUGCGCUUUGCCUGAAACCAUUUCUUUUCCAGGGCAUAGGCUUUAUUAAUCACUGAAAUUGUAGAGAACACAAAUUUCGAUUUAACGUCUGUUACUUACCAUGUUUCCUCCAAAUCUGUGUCCCAGACCGAAGUUGUCUCUGCUAAAAGAUUCCACUUCUUUAUUUCUAAAAGAGUGCCACGCUGCCCCAGUGAGUCAGGAGGACUACUUCGUUGUCUCACCUCAGCACUCCAGGAAGUCUCACUGAGGCUGUUCGAAGAAUGGCAGCUCUGUACAAAAAUGCUUUAAGAAAGCACCAUAUAAUUUGGGCUUAAAGGCUGGAAUCUAAUAAAACAAAAUAGAAUAUUUCCUUACAAAUGCAAUUCUGUUCAUUUGUGGAAUAAUCUCUUCACUAACACAGGGAUCCAGUUUGGAAGACCUACUGCUUGAUACAUUUGAAGCUUAAUGCACUUGAAAAAAUAUAGUGUAGAAAAAUAAACCCAAUAGAUGGCUAUGUACUGGGAGUAUUGUAAAACUGCAUGUGUUCUCCACUUCCAUCUUUUAUGAAUGUGUGAUAAAGAUGAUAAAUUAUGGCUCUCUCUUCUUCAUCAAUUCAAAUUGAAAUCUGGACUAGGAUAAGGAAUACAGGCUUCAAAAGCAGAGUCCCACCUGCAUUUCUCAGCAUUCAUUUGUUCUCUUACUGGGAAAGUUAAACUCAGCGCACGUUGUUGGGGGCUUUAUGAAAAGUAAUCAAAAGAGAAAAAUAACUUUCUGCUAUAAAUUGUAAACAGACAGGCUAGAGCUGGGCUUCUGUGUUUGUGCAUAAAAACAGACUUUAUUGCUAGGUUGUGAGAUUGCUUUGAUAAAUAGCACAAAGUAUUAGUGCUUGAACCAGAGCUGGAUAUACUGAACAGUAUUAUUUUCUUUUCUUCAGAGGGCUGAAAUAAUUAAUGUCAGGUGGGAUGUUCCCCGCCUGAUCUUAUCUCAGAAUCUAAACUACAUUGGUUUUUUCACAUAUGCACGAUGUUUCAGGUAUUUUGGAUUCCUUUGAAAGCACUUGUACUUGAAAAUUUGUCCUUGGAUAAUGCACAUAGACACAAGAGCUACCACCUGAAACGAUAUUUAGGGUAAACUUUGUUUUGUCACCUAUGUUGAUAAAAAAUCCAUGCCACUGCUUAGUUGCAGCAAGUAUUUUACAGAUAAUCCAGCGUCAUUCACAUGAAAAUUCAGCGACAGGUGGGGAGGGAGACAGUCUCCUUUAGGGACCCUCUCAUCCCAUCCCAGUAUAAGUGCAUCUGCCCAGGGUGCUUGGCUCUUUCCCUGAGCUGUUGAGGGAGCCCAGGCAGCUACUGGAAGGCAGGGGAGGUUAACCAGGCCUGCAGUGCUAAAGAAAUAUCAAACUGAUCGACAACGCAGAUUCAGGUAGUUGAUGGGAUCUAUGACCACACGCUGCAAGAGAUCUGGUGCUUCCUAAGUAAAACCCGGUCAAAGGCUAGGCCUGUUAACAAGAAAACAAGAUAUGAUUUAGCCCACAUUUUAAAAGAUGUUAGGAAUUUUAGUUCAACGUAUAACAGUUCUGUAUAACUGACUUGUUAACUUUUCAUAAAUCUAUAUGGCAACUUUCUUUUUGUAAUGUGACAUCUCAAAGUGCAUUAAAUCCUACUUGAGAUGUCUGAAAGCUUUGUAAGACAGUUCUAAAAGUACCUUGUAUAGUCUGAUUUUCUGCUGGAACUGGCAAUUAAUGCUGGUCUGUGUGAAAUAGAUAUUGUCUUGAAUAAGCAGCUCUCACAGCUGCCAUUGAGCUGUUUGUGAAUCAGUGCAGGUUUGUGAGUUACAUCUUUAAAUAGUGUAGAAUUGGAAAUUGUUACGAUGGAUCUCUGGCAGAUUUUUAAAUUCAAAUGCUAGCAAAUAGGCUAAAGGUAUUUUUGCAUUUGGUGGGUCAAAUCUAAAUUACUUUAUUCUGCUUUUAGUCAAGGAAGUUUUAAAUGAAUAAGGAUUUCGAUUGAUUAAGUUCUUGAAAUUUGGGUUACGGUAAGCUUCAGUGGACAACUCAGAAGUCACAGGUGAAAAUAUAAAGCAACUGUAUUGUACAGUAGCUUGCAUAUUCUUUGAAGAUGGGGCCAGCAUUCAAUGAUGAUGUUGUCUAUCUGCUGUUUGUCAAAGCUGAAAUGCAGCUUUAACUUGCCUCUUCAAACGGGAAUGGUUGGUUUCAAAAAUUGUGAUUUUUGAAUGUGAAAUUAAUGAUUUCUGCUUUCUUCUGUUGCCUUCAUUGUUCAGAAAGUACCACCACCAUUCUUAAACAGCCAGAAAAAUGACAUAGAAAAAAACAGUCUGAGUCAAAAGUUUCAGCAGCAACUGUAAUUCCUUAGUAGUUAAUGGCUGGUUGAAAGCUAAAUUACUGUAUAGGAGCACUUAAAUCUGUAGCUGAUCUGCUCUAAUAAUAAUAAUAAUAAUAAUAAUAGCAAUAAUAAUAAUAGUGCUGCAGUUCUUCACUGGCCAGCUGGUGCUGGACUUGUUGAAGAUUGGUUUUCCCAAGAGAGCUGUCAGCAGGACUGAAACACGAGCUGCAGUGCCAAGUAUGCUUGGUGGAGUCUUGUUUGCACCAUGAUUCAAGGCUGUGACCGUCCAGUUGUGGGUGACUUGCUUUUCCAGCUAGUCAUGAACUAGUUUAAAAAAAAAAAAAAAGAUUAUGAAGGAACUAGUUUUCAUAUAUGCUCUGCAUAUGUGUGUGUAUAUAAGUACAGUUACAUAUUGUUAUGCUGACGUAGUGUUUUCACUAUGUCUGGUUCUCAUAUACUGCACAUUGUAUUCUGUAAGUACAUUUUUUUUUUAAUGAUCAUUUCAUCUUUAGGAACUAAAAGCUGCAGGCUGAAGGUUAGCAAGAAGAUGGAGAUACACAUAGGUACAAUUGUUGACUUGCCAUUCUUAUGCAUGAAAAUGGCAUAUUAUAGAAAAAGUUGGUCUUGCAGACUGAGAAAUCUACAAAACACCAUUAUUAUCCAAGAAUUGGGACUCAGAAGUAUUGAAGUUGCACUAAAAAAGAAGAAAAAAAAAGAAAAAAAAAGAGGAAAAUAAAAAUAGUCCAAUUAUUUUUGUUCAAGAUACAGCAGGUCUAUCUAAAGUGCUACAAUAUAACAUGGGUAUACAUUAAUAACUAGAAAAGUUAUCUAUCAUCCCUUGUCUUCUCACUAAUCCUUCAUGGCAUGUGAUGAUAAGCAUGACUAGAUGUAAUGAGAGCAGUCUGACUAUAAUCAGACCUUUUCAGUACAGUGAUGAUGUAUUUUAGUAUCCUACCCUUAAUUAUUUAAACCACAGUCAGUGAUAAAUUGUCAGUUUAAAAUCACUUGCUAAGUACUUUUCCUCUGUAUUGUUUAUAUAAGGGCUUUGAUUGGGCUGGACCCACUCGCUUCAUGUAUAGGAUGCUGCAAUCUGUUAAUACUUUAAUUUCUGUUUUACAUAUUAAUUGUAUCAUACCUAAUAAUAUUUUUGCCCUAAAAUGUAGUUUUUGUGUUUUAUUUAACCUACAACGAUUAAUGCUAAUAAAUGUUUUAAAUACCUUUGAUUUGGGGACGUCUGGUUUCAAUAAAGCAGAACAAAAUAG
RNA transcript from Cygnus atratus (black swan), 5070 nucleotides. It is a transcript of the gene named RAB31, member RAS oncogene family, with no coding region annotated. Lineage: Eukaryota; Metazoa; Chordata; Aves; Anseriformes; Anatidae. The transcript has 8 exons. The record is from RefSeq and is a predicted model, not a curated record.